RNAcentral lists this ribosomal RNA (427 nucleotides) under uncultured bacterium. Its description in RNAcentral is "bacterial SSU rRNA". It matches the Rfam family "Bacterial small subunit ribosomal RNA", at positions 355 to 774 of the family's 1533-position model. The record is from RNAcentral.
UGGGGAAUUUUGGACAAUGGGCGCAAGCCUGAUCCAGCAAUGCCGCGUGCAGGAUGAAGGCCUUCGGGUUGUAAACUGCUUUUGUACGGAACGAAACGGCUCUGGUUAAUACCUGGGGCUAAUGACGGUACCGUAAGAAUAAGCACCGGCUAACUACGUGCCAGCAGCCGCGGUAAUACGUAGGGUGCGCGCGUUAAUCGGAAUUACUGGGCGUAAAGCGUGCGCAGGCGGUGAUGUAAGACAGAUGUGAAAUCCCCGGGCUCAACCUGGGAACUGCAUUUGUGACUGUAUAGCUAGAGUACGGCAGAGGGGGAUGGAAUUCCGCGUGUAGCAGUGAAAUGCGUAGAUAUGCGGAGGAAAACCGAUGGCGAAGGCAAUCCCCUGGGCCUGUACUGACGCUCAUGCACGAAAGCGUGGGGAGCAAACA